AAUUAAGCCACUUCCCCAAGAUACUGAAUAUAUAAUUCUUAAUCUUUUUCCCCUUGCACCCUAAGCCACAGGUAAAGGAGCCACACAAGCCCCACCCUCUACCCUGGCCAAAAAUGCAUGUUUCUGCAGGGGAAGGCAGCAGAGGUCAAAGUGCACUGGCUACCUUGCUCUUCCUGGUAAGUGAUGGCUGAUGACACCUGGGAGCCGGCCAGCAAAUUCGCCUGAUGACCAAUACUGUUGUACUAUUUGUUUUGUAUAUAUUUGUCAAUAAUUAAAUUCACUAUUGUUACAUUUUAUGAUUUGUCUGUCAAUCAAUGACUGCACUGAAUAAUUAAUGUGUCAUGACUUUGUGCUGUAUUUGGAAAAGUUAAAUAGCUGAAAGUUGCAUGUAGUGACAGUCA
Cyprinus carpio carpio is the source of this 401-nucleotide long non-coding RNA. The record is from Ensembl. NCBI's taxonomy places the organism in Eukaryota, Metazoa, Chordata, Actinopteri, Cypriniformes, Cyprinidae.